This 224-nucleotide long non-coding RNA is filed under the name Mytilus galloprovincialis (Mediterranean mussel). The record is from RNAcentral. Lineage: Eukaryota; Metazoa; Mollusca; Bivalvia; Mytilida; Mytilidae.
AUUUUUCGUAUAAUUUGAUUUGAUAAUACAUUUGAAGGCGACCCUUUCUAAGGCAAAGGGUCAUUAGAUAUAGGAAGAUUGGUAUGAGUGCCAAUGAGACAACUCUCCAUCCAAAUAACAAUUUAUAAAAGUAGGUCAAUGUACGGCCUUCAACACGGAGCCUUGGCUAUCACCGAACAAUAAGCUAUAAAAGGCCCACAAUUACUAAUGUAAAACCAUUCAAA